GACGAACGCUGGCGGCGUGCUUAACACAUGCAAGUCGAACGGAAAGGCCUGCGUUCCCUUGUGGAUUGCGGGUACUCGAGUGGCGAACGGGUGAGUAACACGUGAGUGAUCUGCCCCCAACUUGGGUAUAAGCCUGGGAAACUGGGUCUAAUUCCCGAUAGGACUGCAGGGUGGUGCCUGUGGUGGAAAACGAUUUUCUAGUGGUUGGGGAUGAGCUCGCGGCCUAUCAGCUUGUUGGUGGGGUAAUGGCCUACCAAGGCGGCGACGGGUAGCCGGCCUGGGAGGGUGGACGGCCACAUUGGGACUGGGAUACGGCCCAGACUCCUACGGGAGGCAGCAGUGGGGAAUAUUGCACAAUGGGCGGAAGCCUGAGGCAGCGACGCCGCGGGGGGGAUGACGGCCUUCGGGUUGUAAACUCCUUUCGACCGCGAGGAAGCCACCUGGUUGGAAGGGUGGUGACGGUAGUGGGAGAAGAAGCACCGGCUAACUACGUG
RNAcentral lists this ribosomal RNA (494 nucleotides) under uncultured bacterium. Its description in RNAcentral is "partial 16S ribosomal RNA". It matches the Rfam family "Bacterial small subunit ribosomal RNA", at positions 28 to 507 of the family's 1533-position model. The record is from RNAcentral.